This 22-nucleotide microRNA is filed under the name Oikopleura dioica. RNAcentral's name for it is "odi-miR-1489". Lineage: Eukaryota; Metazoa; Chordata; Appendicularia; Copelata; Oikopleuridae. The record is from miRBase by way of RNAcentral.
UAGGUAAACCACGGAUUGCUUA